AUUCUUCCAAUCAUUUAUGAUGAUACCUGUAAGAUAUCCCAUGGCUUUGUCUUUCCAUUGGUGACCCUGCAGUGGCCUCUCCUUGCUUUAGGAUGGACACCUCUGAGUGUGUGAUCACUGGGAGACUGGGGAACCACCGUGUCCUCAGGUUCCCAUCCCAGUGUAUGGUGGAAACUCAGAAACUAUUUGUCAAAUGAGCGGAUGGAUGAAUGCAUAGUUGGUGUGAAUGUUAGUCCACAAAUCAGAUGUUCAAGAAUAUUAAACAUCUUUGUUUUACGUCAGUGUGUGUUUAUCCCACAUGUUGAACUGGUGGGAAGUUAAAUUUCAGCGAUAAUUGAGUCUCCUCCAAGGCACCCCAUCUUCUCCAGGUUAUACGAAGAUCUUGAAACCUUAAGCACUAAAGCAUCAUCUGAAAUACCCUGCUAAUCCCAAGCCCCACUGGCCACUCUUGAGACUUCUGUGUCUCUGUUGCCUAUUCCUGAGACAGGCUGGGACCUGGGACCUGAGAUCCUUUGCUGCAAUGCUUGUACCUGGACAAAUAUCUCCUGCAGCAAUAAAAUACAAAGGAACUCUAAGGGACUAAAAAUAACUGUGUUGCAUGCACCAUCAGGCCAAAUUGUGGACAAUAAAAUACAAAAAAAAGACUACAAAAAACUAACUACCUCUUUUGAAGAGCCAAGAGCAAAAUCAGGGGACUAUGCAUGCCCCCUGCCCACAAUACCUCCAAAGGGGUAGGCAGACCAUCUAGGCCACCCUUCUGGCCUGACCUCUCGACCUGCCCCUAUGCUCACCUCAUUUGGGAAACCAUAGUGCUGCUUCUUCAGGGAGCAAGUGAGCAAGCAAACCAAGGAACGUGCUGCUUGUUUUCACUCCCUCCUGCUGCAGCAAAGGUCCAAUGAAGCUGUGCCUGAAUUUCUUGUCUGGCCUCAUCAAUCUCUCUUGAUGAAGAAGGACAAGAACCCUGGUUGGUAUCAUUCCCUUUAGGCCCCCUUUGUGUCUGUGCCACAGUUGGAACAAGGGACUCUUGAGAGGACUUGAAGCCUUGGUGUCUGGGGCUCAGCACUCCUGGGUGUACCAGAUAGUCAUCUGUCCCUUCAGAUCUUGCGGGAGAGCUGCAUGGCUCCCCCAGCAGGUGGCCAUUAUCUCUUGCUACUCUUACUCCUCUGUGAGGAUACACCUCUUCACUGUAUUUC
Molecule: long non-coding RNA, 1193 nt
Filed under: Sus scrofa (pig)
Lineage: Eukaryota; Metazoa; Chordata; Mammalia; Artiodactyla; Suidae
Description: lncRNA (ENSSSCG00040030064.1)
Source: RNAcentral